Molecule: ribosomal RNA, 492 nt
Filed under: uncultured bacterium
Lineage: Bacteria
Description: partial 16S ribosomal RNA
Rfam family: Bacterial small subunit ribosomal RNA
Source: RNAcentral
AGUGAACGCUGGCGGCAGGCCUAACACAUGCAAGUCGAACGGCAGCACAGUAAGAGCUUGCUCUUACGGGUGGCGAGUGGCGGACGGGUGAGGAAUACAUCGGAAUCUACUUUUUCGGGGGGGAUAACGUAGGGAAACUUACGCUAAUACCGCAUACGACCUACGGGUGAAAGCAGGGGAUCUUCGGACCUUGCGCGACUGAAUGAGCCGAUGUCGGAUUAGCUAGUUGGCGGGGUAAAGGCCCACCAAGGCGACGAUCCGUAGCUGGUCUGAGAGGAUGAUCAGCCACACUGGAACUGAGACACGGUCCAGACUCCUACGGGAGGCAGCAGUGGGGAAUAUUGGACAAUGGGCGCAAGCCUGAUCCAGCCAUACCGCGUGGGUGAAGAAGGCCUUCGGGUUGUAAAGCCCUUUUGUUGGGAAAGAACAGCAGCGGGUUAAUACCCCGCUGUUCUGACGGUACCCAAAGAAUAAGCACCGGCUAACUUCGUG